CCUACGGGGGGCAGCAGUAGGGAAUAUUGCUCAAUGGGGGAAACCCUGAAGCAGCAACGCCGCGUGGAGGAUGAAGGUUUUCGGAUUGUAAACUCCUUUUGUUAGAGAAGAUAAUGACGGUAUCUAACGAAUAAGCACCGGCUAACUCCGUGCCAGCAGCCGCGGUAAUACGGAGGGUGCAAGCGUUACACGGAAUCACUGGGCGUAAGGAGCGCGUAGGCGGGAUAGCAAGUCAGAUGUGAAAUCCUAUGGCUUAACCAUAGAACUGCAGUUGAAACUGUUAGUCUAGAGUAUGGGAGAGGUAGGUGGAAUUCUUGGUGUAGGGGUAAAAUCCGUAGAGAUCAAGAGGAAUACUCAUUGCGAAGGCGACCUGCUAGAACAUAACUGACGCUGAUGCGCGAAAGCGUGGGGAGCAAACAGGAUUAGAUACCCGUGUAGUC
RNAcentral lists this ribosomal RNA (440 nucleotides) under uncultured bacterium. RNAcentral describes it as "partial 16S ribosomal RNA". It matches the Rfam family "Bacterial small subunit ribosomal RNA", at positions 338 to 795 of the family's 1533-position model. The record is from RNAcentral.